AUGGGCCGGGGCGGCCGGGGGCAGGGAGGUGGGGUCCCUGCUCCUGAGAGCGGGGAGGAAUGUGGCCCCAGCAGCCAAGCUCUGCGAGCGCCGGACGGAGAUGCCGGCAGCCCGCUGGGGGAGGGGGCGCCUCUGCUUUUCCCUCUGGUCUCGGCCCGGGGUCACAGCCCCUGCCCCGUCCUGGAGCUCAGGGCAGAAACCUGGGCAGCCCACGAGGGGACAGGUGGCUGGGCCAGGGGAAGCAGGUGCCCACAGCGCACCGUGGGGAGCCGACACCCAGCCCGGGCUCCUGGGCCCGCCGGGGUGGGGCCGGUGCCACUGCCCCCAGGUCUCGCCGCCUCCCCGGCCUCGGGAUCCCCAGCUGCUCCCAGCACUGACCACCCUGCCCCAGCCCGCGGGGCCCCGGCCGGUCCCAAGGUCACAGCGGCAGGGCGCUCGCCGCCACCCAGAAGACGGUCCUGCCGCCAGCGCAUAAACAAGCGCCGCCGCGGUGCCCCCACCCCACCCCGACCGCCCGAGGGGCCGACCCGGUGCCCGGUGCCUGGUGCUCGGUGUCUGUGCCCGGUGCCUGUGCCCGGUGCCCGGUGCGGGGAGCCGCUGGCCGAAGCCGGAGCAAGCAGCGCAGCGUCGCCAGGUGCCCGCAGCCUCCCUGGGCCCGGCCGCGGGGACAGAGGAAGCCCCGGGAGCGCUGGGGGCGGAGGCGGAGCCCGAGGCCAAGCGUCCUUACCCGGAGCCGAGGUCUCAGCCAGAGGGACAGGCGGCGCGGCGCCGGCGGUUUUAUCUCUCCAGGAGGGGGUCCACCUAUUGACGGCGCGGGCGCAAUGCACUGCGCCCCUGCAGUACGGCAAUGCGGUACCGGCGGGGGCGGGGCGGGCGGGGCGGCCGGAGCCGAGGGGUGCGGGAUGCGGGCGACAGGAUGCGGCGAGGCAGCGAGCGCCCGGCGCGGCGCCAGACCCGGAGGGAGUGCAGGCAGGGAGAGAAAGCGGGUCGGGGCUCGCGGGGGGGCGGGGACCGGCCGAGCCGAGCGAGGGGGGCCGGGGGAGAGCAGCGCAAGAGAUGGAGGCCGAGCGGCGCCAGGCUCAGGCCCUCCUGGACGCAGAAAGGGUGGGGACGGCCAGGCCAAAGGCAGUGAAACCUGAAAGGGGGUCCUUGGGGACAGGAAACCGAGGUGGGGACGUGGUAGGAGCAGGUCAGGCCUGCGCCAGGAGUGGGGCUGGGCCCGGGCUCUGGGCCGUGGGCCUGGGGGGCUCGCCCCCGCCCUCCAUGCGCUUGGUGCCUGGUGAGCAAAUGAAGCUCCCUUGUGCCUCCCAGCGAGGCCCCGGAGCCCUGGGGCCUUCCUCCUUUGGGACCCUGCAAUUGCUUGUUUUCAGGGCCCCCAUCCCCGUGCGUCGGCCACAUGGGUCACCCUGGCAUGCCCCCAGCCCGGCCCCACGGCACAGCCGGAGAACGGUGUCUUCAGGGUCCCCUCAGCCGGCCGAGUGGCUCGAGGCUCUGUGGGAGAUCCACCUCAACCUCCCUCCCCUGCUGUCCACCCUGGGCCUCUGUCCACGCAAGUCUGUUCCCAGAGCCCACCGACACCCUCCAGGCUGCCCUGGUGCGCGCGAGCGGGGAGGGGUCCCGGGCAGGCAGAGUCCAGGCUCUGGCCUCACUCCUGGCCCCCGUGUGACCAGAGUGCGAAGCCACGGAUGGGCCAGUUCUGUAGAAAGUGUGUUGGGGGGGGUCUUGGAGGGUCCAGGGCAGCCCAGGGCAAUGGCCAACGUGGGUUCUAAGGAGGGAACCAGGCAGGCCCGUGCUGUGUGA
Molecule: long non-coding RNA, 1800 nt
Filed under: Canis lupus familiaris (dog)
Lineage: Eukaryota; Metazoa; Chordata; Mammalia; Carnivora; Canidae
Description: lncRNA (ENSCAFG00000058089.1)
Source: RNAcentral